Molecule: unclassified non-coding RNA, 311 nt
Organism: Callithrix jacchus (white-tufted-ear marmoset)
Lineage: Eukaryota; Metazoa; Chordata; Mammalia; Primates; Cebidae
Rfam family: Metazoan signal recognition particle RNA
About the family: The signal recognition particle (SRP) is a universally conserved ribonucleoprotein. It is involved in the co-translational targeting of proteins to membranes. The eukaryotic SRP consists of a 300-nucleotide 7S RNA and six proteins: SRPs 72, 68, 54, 19, 14, and 9.
Source: Ensembl
GCCGGGCGCAGUGGGGCAUGCCUGUAGUCCCAGCUACUUGGGAGGCUGAGGUGGGAGGAUUGCUUGAGUCUAGGAGUCUAGGAGUCCUGGGCUGUAGGGCAUUAUGCCGACCAGGUGUCCGCACUAAGUUCGGCUGCAAUAUGGUGACCUCCCAGGAAUGGGGGACCACCAGGUUGCCUAAGGAAGGGUGAACCAGCCCAGGUUGGAAACGGAGCAGGUCAGAACUCCAGUGCCGAUCAGUAGUGGGAUUGCACCUGUGAACAGCCACUGUACUCCAGCCUGGGUAACAACAGAGCUUGACCCCAUCUCUA